This 189-nucleotide microRNA precursor is filed under the name Oryza glumipatula. Its description in RNAcentral is "MIR812 microRNA precursor family". It matches the Rfam family "MIR812 microRNA precursor family". The record is from Rfam by way of RNAcentral. Lineage: Eukaryota; Viridiplantae; Streptophyta; Magnoliopsida; Poales; Poaceae.
AAAAAGGCAAACCCUAAAUUUUCGUGCCAACGUUUAACUGUCCGUCUUAUAUGAAAUUUUUUUAUAAUUAGUAUUUUCAUUGUUGUUAAAUGAUAAAACAUAAUUAAUACUUUAUGCGUGACUUAUCUUUUUAAUUUUUUCAUAAUUUUUUUAAAUAAAACGGACGAUCAAACGUUGGACACGGAAACU